AGGUCAGUAGGGCUCCCGCUCCUAGAUCACCUCAGCUUCCCAAGCUCAGAGCGCGGGUUCGAUUCCCGUCAUCC
Molecule: transfer RNA, 74 nt
Filed under: Streptomyces paradoxus
Lineage: Bacteria; Bacillati; Actinomycetota; Actinomycetes; Kitasatosporales; Streptomycetaceae
Description: tRNA-Gly
Source: RNAcentral